CUCCGCUGGGCUGUGGCCCCUGUCCUGUUAGCACUGCACGCGUGCAUCGUCUGCGUGCUCGUGAUAAACACUGUGAACACUGAGCUGGCCUCUUGUCUCCCCUGGGCUGCAGUCGGUUUCUGCAAGGAUGUCUGCUUGGGGGGGCGGCAGUGAGGAGCAAUGAAUGUGAUUUCCAGGAAUCCAAGGAAAGGCACAAGACCCCUGCCUUCUUGGGCCUCCACACUGAAGUUCUCUUCUUGAUCCAUCU
Molecule: long non-coding RNA, 247 nt
Filed under: Homo sapiens (human)
Lineage: Eukaryota; Metazoa; Chordata; Mammalia; Primates; Hominidae
Description: HSALNT0183822
Source: RNAcentral